UUUGCCCCCAGCUCGGCCUCGCUCCGGGCGCACCGGCGGCGGCACCUGCGCUUGUCCCGGCCGCCCGCACUCAGCGUGCUGCGUGUCCUCGGCCCGGCGGUGCGGGAGAGGCCGCUAGCCCAGCACGGCCCCGGCUGGGUAACGGGGCUCCGCCGUUAGCCCCGGGCUCUCCGCCGCGGCCGAGGCACCGCGGUUCCCGCAAGACAGCGUCUCUCCCUUGCCCUGUGCUCGGAAAGACCUCGCAGCGUGUGCUGCUUGUGUCUUUCCCUCGCCACCUCCACGGCAUCGCUAUAGCGCAGCUCAUCCCGAGCCUUUCAACUAUAUUUGGGGGGUUUGUGUGUUCUUUCCCCCCCUUUUUUUCUGUUCUCUUGGGUCACACGUACUCUGACACGGUAACACAAGCCCUAUGCUCCAGCGGGAGCACCGGUAACCGGUCUCAGCACACGGGGACAGUUGUUUAUUUCCCUCCGAACAGAGCUACCGGACAGCGGAACGGGGACAGGGGGUUCAUCUCCUCGCGAAAAUGGCCAAAGGACACCGGGACAAGCGAAGGGACGGAGAGAUAAAUAAGAAAACACGUUAACGUAGCCGGAUAAAAGCCCGGCCGGACUAUUCCUCCAGUGCAAACACCGUACGCUCCCAUCCGAGCUGGCCGCCAAGUGCGGGCGAGGGGACACAGACCUGAGCACCCCUCCGCAAAGAAUUAAUUGCCCCUCACCUCCUCACACGCACUUUUUCAUGUUGCCACAUGCACACCCCCUCCUCCUGCAGCAGAAAUAAUAUAUGUGGCUAAUGCCGCAGGUGCUGAGGUGACUAGAAAGUUGUAAAAAGGCACAGAGACUUGACAGUGUCCUGCUCGGAAACCUGGUGUACCAAGACCCCCCGAACGGAGAUAGGCUGCGGCUCAAUUUCAAAGACAAGGCUGCAGCAUUCCCACUGAUCCUGACAGAACAAACCCGACCUUUCCCCGAAAUAGGGACCAGGAGCGACUGGAAAGACAGAAAGGGGGAAAGGAAUCUUUUCCCGUUAAAAUGUGGGGAAACUGCCUUAUGAUUUCCAAAUAACCCAGAGCCGAGGAGGUCACCUUUCGGGGAGGGUGGGCGUUCAAAAUACAGAAUAGCCACAGAUUGUUGCUGAUGUUGAAUUUCUGUAGGAGGAAUAACAAUAAUAAUAAAAAACCCGAAACCCCAGCCCAACACCAACCUUUCCUGCCUCAAACCUGACAAAGUAAACAGGAUUAAUUCACCAUAUGAAAAAAUUACAUUAACGCCGUCUUAACAAACGUAGAAAUCAGAAGAGAAAGCGGGUUUAACAGGACGGACAAUAUUAAUAGUUUGAACGUAGGAUCGUAAAAAUGAAAAGCCAUUGAUACACGCUUAAAAGCCGCCGUAUACGCUGAUUGCUCAAGCAUUAAUGAAGAAUGCCCCAGAUUAACUAUUUGCUCUUCGAGGGAUGGAGUAAUAUAACUAUCUAUUAGCACCAUUAGAUGCUUUGCUAUUUAUUUGAAAACACCCCUGCGAGUGGGUUGAGGCAGAACAGAUGAAUGUAAAAAUGAACUGCAGCUAAUUUCGCUCAAUAAUCCUCGAAACCUGAGCGCCUCGCAGAGCAGGGGGACAUUCUCCACCGUCCUUCUCCCAGCCUAAUGACAAUAGGAACGCUCUGUUUUAAAAGUAAGAGCGUAUUGGUUUCCCAAAUAAACAAACGCAUCCCUCCUGCCAUUUUACUGCAGAUGUAAAUUUAUUUUAAUGAGAGGGAGUGGAAGGAUUUAUUUUGCUAAAAUAGAGUUGGGGAGAGAGCCGGUGUAAAUCUUUAGGUUUAAAAAAAUAGAGAAGAAGGGGAAGCUGCUUUCCUGGCAGAAAGCUGCAUAACAGUCCUCUAAUUCUUUCUAGAUUAAAUCGCAAUAUGAAUACAGCAUCGAAUAAAUACCGAGUUUCGCUCUGAACUCAGUGGAAAGCAGUUACGUCUAACAGAAUUCAAUGAAUUCCUCUUCUCCCUCAAUGUAGUAUGUGUGUGUUUUUCUCUUCCACCACACUGAAGUUCCAUGAAUAGGGAAAGUGGCUCCUAUUGUGUGCCUCUGAACUUCCAAGUCAAUGCAAUUUUUAACCACUGGCUUGUGGUACUUUGAAAAUCACCAGGGGCUGUCAGAGUUGGGUCCUCUGAAAAAUUUACAGUGCUAAAUCAGAGCAUAUGCUGUGAGAGAGGAAAAAAAAUUGCUUAAGAUUGGAGCAAGUACAGUAUCCGGCUGCCCCCUAGUGUAAGUCUCUUAUCUGCCUAAAAUUCAACUUUAAAAGAAAAGGAUCUCUUAAAGGGAAACGACUUUUGGCUCACGUAUGCGUACGAGAAUGAAACUUCUGUACAUUUUAAUCUGAUUAAUUCCUAAGGAUUUUAAAUUAAUUGGCUUGGGCACUCCUAGACCGGACUAUAAGAUUUCUGCAGCAGGGUUUCUGCGAGCGCUGCACCGAAUAGAGCAAAACACUUUUGCUGCUUAAAGUCACAUCUACGCCUUUUGCGAUAAUCCUUUAAAAAAUAUCCAUUAAAAAAAAAUGAAGGAGAAAUAAUUGCUUUAAAGCCUCGGCCGAACUGCCAACCACACCUUCGGAUGUUAGAAGGCAGAAAUACGCGAACUCCUGAGAGAGGUGGGUACUUUUUGGGCCUGCCUCAGACAUGACAUAAAUAGAGAUUGAACUAUCAGGGAAGAGAAAAGAAUAUAAACCCAAACCCCUGGACAGGAAUAGACACAGGCAGAUAUAUAACUGCAUAUGGACAAUGUUACGUACCGUGUUCGGAGAUGGUAACAAGAAAUAAUAAAUAGAUCGCAUAUUUAUAACCUUAUAAUUAAAAUACAUUCUUAUCUCUCUCCUCUGAAAGGUUGCAGCUUUCUUGGAUGUAUUUUGAUUGCAUAUUUUAAAGUCUGUGUCCCGAAUUGAAUUGAGAUGAGCUGUUUUACCCAAGAGUAAACCCCUUGUUUACAAUUUGAUGUUUAAGUUUCAACUGCCUAUCAAUUGCCGUAUCAUUUCCUUUGUAUUUUAUCUCCUUGCACUUGGAGACUUUAUUUAAAAUGGUGUUAGUUUCUAGCAAAUGCUAAUUUCUGUGUAUCGGAAAUUAGCCAAUAUUAUCCAAAACAAUCCCUGUGUUUGGCUGAGGCAAAUUGGAUGAGAUUUUUUUCCCAUUCAAAGGGUUAAAGCUAAACUGAAAACUUUAAAGCCAAGGGAUACCAGCAAACAGUAAAAAAUGGCACGUCUGCUCUCUCUUGACAAGCUUGCAUUAUAUCAAAUGUAAGGAAGCCCAGUUUUCUGAGUCUAAGACCAGUUUUAGUUUUUAAUAGGAAAUAAUUACAUGGAACUUUAUUUCCAGAGAGAACGUCCCUUCCAGCUACAGUGUUUUGCUUUGAUCUAAGUAUUAACUGGUAAUAAAAUAACCAUAUUUUGGAUCCUAAGCAUAUUGAUGCUUAAAGGAAUGUUAUGCUUUCAAUCAAAAUCUAACUUGAGAUUAUCCAAAGGUAUUCAUCCUUCUUUUGUCAGAAACCAAUUUGCUCUCUUAUUCCUACAGCUACUCACAUGUGGUUUAGUAUACUUUAGCUGUUUUUUUAUAGUAGAAUUUGCACUAUCGAGGUGGAAAACUUUUAAAUGGAGAGAGAUCAUGUUCCAGCCUGGUAAUUUGGGCUGUUUCUCAUAGAGCGACCCAGUCCAGCCCUUCUUUACACUUGUUGUACACCACCAGCAUCGCCCAUCUCCGAGGGUGACUACCGCAAACGUCUCUGCAGCAGGAUUUUGGUUUAAAUCUUCAGAUUUUUUUUUUGUUUCUUUUUAAAACCUGCAGAAUCAAUCAUUUGGACCCAUCCUGAACAAUUAACCUCGUCUUUAUAUUACAGCCCCAAGCACAGUACUUCAUAAAGACAUGAAAAGGACAUCCCAGACAGCAGGACCCGAUCCCAGGCUUGUCACAGAGUAUAAAAGGAGAGAGAAGGGGAGUUUUUAUCUCUUUGCCCCACCAAUUCUUAACAGUUCUAAGUUUCAGUGUGACAAUAAACCAGUUUUGAUAACAUAGCUCAUGGGUUUCCCUGCCACAUAAAGUUUUCUUAAUAAUAAAAAAGAAGAAACUUUAUCCCUGCUAAAUUAAAAUAGGGCAGAUGUUGGAUAUGGUUCAUAUUAGCCAGCCUUUCACCCUUUUGCCCCUGGCACUAAAGUUCUGACUUUUUCUUUCCACUAUGUCUGCUUCUAACUGAAAGGUAUUAUUCCUGCCCUAGCCCUCUUCUUCUAUUUAUUUUUUCAGCGCCUAAAAUUAAACCUAUUCAUUUAGUAAUAUACAUUCUAUUGCAGAUUGCUAAAUCUGGGCAGAGAGGGGAAACGUUUUGCUAAAAGUGAUGCACCACUGACCUUAAAAGAAAACAUGAAGCAGGGAAAGCUGUUCUGAAAAGGUUUAUUUCAGGAGAAUUUUGUAGCUCUGUUGACAUUAUAAGGAUAAUGGCUGUAUUGCAAUGCGCUUUCAAGGCCCAAGAGGUUUAUGUUUUCUUCUGACCAUAAGUAUAAUAAAAUUUUAAAGGUGCACAAAGUCUCAUCACUUUAGAUAUUUAAAACUAGGUUGAAAAAACCCUUAGGAAACACACAUUACAGUGGACAGCCCUGCUGAGAGAGCAGGAAAUAGGGGAAAAAAAAACAACAAACCCCAAACCCAAAUAAAACCCCCAGGUUUUUUAUGCUAGCUCUAUGAAAAUCCUGGCUAUUAAACUCCCAAGGAUAGCACAACUCUUUUCUCUAGGGCUGUGAAGAUAGAAUUUAUUGUCCAUUUGGAACGAUCAAGUUUAGGCUAAUAAAAGGCCCUCUGUAAGCAGAAGUGCCCAAGUUGAUGUUUGGCAGAGUUUUCAAUGGUAGAGUUUAUAUAGGAUGGGGGCUCUGCGCUAUUCGAAAUUACUCAUCUCUCAGCAGCCGAGGAUGAGUUGACAUACAGAAGUAAACGUUAGUAGGCAACGGCUGAAGGUUAAUCAGCAUUGCUUUCUGAACUGGAGGGUUGAAAGCAGGAAGAAGUGAAAGCUGCUCUCUCGAGCCCUUCCUUUUGCUAAGGUGCUGCUAACUUUUAUGCUUUUUCUCUCCCCCCCUCCUCUCUUCCUCUUUUACUAUCUGUCUUUGUGCCUGAGGGCCAGUGAAAGAACACUGCAGAUUCUAGAUUGCUUUCAGAGUUUCCCUUUGCUGAUGAUGGAUUACCAUGUCAAUUUAAACGGCAUAGGAUUAAUUUGUUUCAAUGAUUUCUCUUUAGGCUGAAUGCCAGUCUUUUUUUUCCUGUCUUUCUCUUUGCUCUUAAUAAUAAUAACAAUAAUAAUAAUAAAAAAAUCCUUAAAAACCCCAAACACUUUUGAUCUCCCACAUUAAAAAGACAAUAAUAGAAACAGACAAGUUAGGUGUAAUGUUGCAAAACAGUUGUAGGUUUGAGUGUUUUUAUCUCAUUCUAAGGGGCUGAAGCAUACAGUCAGUCACAUUAAAAUGAAAUUGGAUCCAACGUUUAUUCAAUAAAUACUUGUCUUGUAGGUAAUCCAGAGCAGAGUGCUUUUGACACAUAAGGACUUAAUUUGUCUUGGAUAACAAGUUAUUAAUAUGGCACAUUUAAACUUGCCACCUACAAUAAGGUCAUUUAGAUCUAUAAUACGACUCGCAAGAGAACUUCAUAAAGCCAGAAACAAAGUUUGAGGCUGCCUCCGAGUUGUGGAGCAGAACGUGGUUUGCUCUUUUCAGCAGAAAGUUCAGAGCCAGUAAGAGCUACCCAAACCCAAGUGGUGUGCAUCUGCUCUCCUUUGGAAGGCAAACGUAAAUGGAGUAAGGAGGGGAGAGGGAAAAAAAAGAACCCAAACACACGUUUUUGAAUGAGUAAGCUCGAAAGCUGCGCUGCGUCUGCUAGCAAACUCAUCGCAGCUUUGGGAGUGAAAAAACAACAUUUGGUUCCGAGUGGAAAUUCGCCUGCGUUUGCACCCUACCUCUUCCAUGUGCUUUGCAAUUUACUUGCCUUUAAUAAUAAGCGAGGAAGUUGGAACAUAAUCCACCCAUAAAUGUUAUUGCUGUAAUUUGACUGUGCUGUGUUUGUUCAUGCAUUAGCCGUAUAUGUAACGCGAAGUGGGGAUGUAUGGUGGUGAUCCCCGUGCAGCCUGAACAAACAGAGAUGUUUUGGUACAUACUGGAUUUCAACCCCCAAAUGCUCUGCAAUCUGGGAAGCUGGAGGUGGGGUGUUUAGUUUCAGACCUGUCCUAACCAAACAAUGCCUGCAUGAGGUGCAUCAGGAGCGGAAUAUCGGGGGCAUGUGAUGCAGGAUGUGUUCUGUGGCUGGUGACUCGGUGUCCACACCGUUAUGCAUGAGCUUUAUUAUUCUGCUUUGAUGUAUUAAGCUCUUGGUUGCCCCUGCUCUGGCAGAUUCUGUCUCUUUAAGUAACUAAAUCUAAUUUUUAAGCUCUUCCUGGGAAAAGGAUGUUACACAUGAGUAGAAAAAAGCAGGCGAGAAAGGCUAAUUGAAUGAAAAGAGAGAAUUAGGUUAAAAAUAGAGUACAAUCUAGUAUCACAUUUUCACUAGUGUAACCUGAAAUGAAGGUGUCUCCAAGUCCCUAGUGAUGCCAGAGUGUUUAGAUGUUGGGCACAGAUGGAGACACCUAUUGAAAUGUGUCUGAAGAAGAUUAAUAGGACUUGUCAGUGUUGGGAAAGCACUGCUUUGCUGUAAAUUUCUACUAGCACAAGAUGAAUUACCGAUGAAUGCUCAGUUAUCAACCCCAUCACUAUCAUUGGACACUAAAUCAAAUUGAGCAGUUAUCUACAAUCAGAAAAUUUCUUUUAAAAAUAGGCAUACACCUUUAGGCUUAAACUCUUUAAUAAGGCAAAAUCCUCUGUGGUAUGUGUGUGUUCAUGAAGGGAUAUGAUUUAAAGUUUCUAUACAAAAAGCUUCUGUUCAGAAACAAACUCCAAGUUUAGUGUGAAAUCUGAGUUGUCAAACAAUAGAAAUAUUCAGAAAAUACUGGUUAUAUGAUACAAUGUUCUGCUGGGGGCCUGAUCCAAAAUGGAUUUUUGUGCAUGUCAUUGAAUUUUGGAUCUGUCCCUAUUUGUGAGAGGUUUUUCUUUCAUCCCUCCUCUCCCCUUAUUUUUGGUGAUGAUAAAAAAACUUCUCUCUACCUUAAAGACUGAGCAUCCAAGAUCACAUACAAAUGCAGAAUAGCUGUCAAGACUCAGGAUUUAUGUAUCAUAAUAAUACCACCCCCCAACUUAUUUAUGAAAUUACAGCUUAACAUAAUGAAACAUGCGAUGAAAGAAUCAAUGAAUAAUAUGUUAACUGAGAAUAUUUCCUUCUAUCCUUUAUAAGAGGGGAAACUGUCACAAGAAAAACUAUCAUAAACAUUUACCAUCCUGCUGCUGAAGUACAUUACCUGUACUUACUGUGUGAUGUUGAUGAUGACAAUGAUAUUAAAUAAGCAUCCUCUAUCUUUAGUUUCUAGGAUUUCUUUCCCUCUUACCCAGGCAUUGUGCUACUUUAUCCAAGGAGAUUUAUCGUGGCGUAUUUUCAGAAGUCAAUUUUUACCUUUUAUUAUAGACAAGGGCAGUCAUUUAUGUUUAGGGAGGGAGACAGGUACAGUGCCUUUAUCAGAUCUGUGUCCCCAGCCACAGCUCCCUUCUUAAUCGAUGGCAAAUUCCCACUCUGGAGGAUCGGGCCCUAUCUGGGCUGCUUCUCAGCCCAGGAAUGUAUCCUUCCCUUCACCUCCACAUAUCUUACCUGUGAUGUAUGCUACUUUUUGAGGAGGGAAUAAUACGCUAUUUACCACAAAGUGCAGCUUCAAAGCCUUUGUGUGUUUCUCAUCUCCAGCCAAAAGCUUAUUAUUUACCACCUCAUAAAUUUACCCGGGUGAGGGAUAGUAGCAGUUAUUGUCUCCAGUUUUACAUCCUAAUUUUCACACACCAAAAUGCCCUGUAUUAGGGCCAGAUUCUUACUCAGAUGGAAGUUAUUAACUUUAGCAGAACAGAGCCGAUUUCAGCCAGCCACAGCCCGUGCCCUUCCAACACAGUCACUUUACAGCGUCCCCUUGUUUAUUUUUUCCUUUGGAGGGCAUGAUUCGUUAAACAUGUUUGUUUUACACAGAGCAGCAGUUGAUUCCUAACUUCCCCCCCCCCCCCCCCCAUAUAAAGAGAAUAUUAAUAGAGAAUAUUAAUAGAGCUGAGUGCGGUGUGAUGCUAGUUAGAUUGUAGUAGCUGAGAAAUAUGAACUAGCGAACAUAAUCCAUAAACUCCAUUUGGUUACUAUAAUACUCCAAUCUGUAUUUAUUACAACCCCACUCUGAUGCUUAUACAACUGCAAUUGCUAGAUUUAUACACUCUAAUGGUUUCACAAUAGGAAAAACCUGUGUUCUUUAUCUUUCUUUUCCUGUCCAAAAUAACCCCUUCCACAUAUACUUCAGGCUUCUCCAGACCUUGUCUGGGUUUAAUCACAGGCUCUGGGACAAAAUGUGCAUUAUUAAGAAAUAUAAAUAUUUUCAGAAGCAAUCAAAGGGUUGAAAGAUUGAUUCGGCAUGUAGAUUGGAUUUAAUUCGAAGCAGCUUUGUUCUAAUGAGGACUACUGGGAUACAAAGACGGCAGCCGCUUAUGGCCACCAGUUGGGAACUUCGACUCGCUGCAGCAACCUGUCAAGAAUUUCAAGGGACUGCCAGGUAUUAAGCAGAGAAGUGAUGGGGAAGCUGGUGGUCUAUUGUUUUCAGCCUCCUUCCGAGGCUGGAUUAAGGUUUCAUAGUCCCUGUUUUCCCAAAAUGACAAUUAAGGUUAAUUUCUUGCUGCCCACAGGACCAAAUCCUGUUCAGGGGGAAGCCCCUCUGGACUUUAUGGGGGGCUUUGCCUAAGGGAGAGGUGGCAAAGUUUGGCUGAGCCCCAAGUCCAGCAAAUCUGAGAGCCCCGUAGUGAUUUGUUCUGCUUCCAGACCUGGUGUGGCUGCUUUUGGUGACUAUUUCUGUUAAAUUUUGCUACCUGUGCUCCUAUACGGCACAGGACCUUUUUGCAUAGGGCAGUGUUUUCCCUGCAGUGAAAUACAGCUCUGUGUUGGCUGGGAAGCUCUUGUGUCCUUGUUGGGUGACCUGGACCUGUCCCGUUUCCUGGGGAAAAGUCUGAGACAUGCAACAAAACAUCCUUGAGGUGAUGCUAAACAAAACGGGACACUCGAUAGCUUUACCCUUAGACUUAAAAGAACCCCCCAGACAGUAAGAUUUCAGUGUGCGCUGUGUGGGGGUGUCACAUCACAGGUAUUUGGGGAGCACAAGACCCUGGCAGCUUUCCUAAGUGUCUAGCGUACAGUCAGAAUCACAGUAUAUACAGGAUCAAACACUGACUAGUUUCUCUCUCCCCUUAGCCCCCCUCCCUUGCCUACUUUUGUCCAUAAAAGCAAGAGAAAGAGAGAAAGCUUGAAUUUUCUGAACUGUUUCACCCAUCCACAGCUGGAAUUCCAAAGCGAAAUGAAAAUGCCUUUAAAAUCAACCCUACAUGGGAGCCUGAGAGAACAAGUUUUCCUUUGUUGUAGGGUAUAGUAUUAUUUGCUGUAGGUUUUUGAUAUACAUUCUAAAUUAGGCCUGCAAAGGAAUGCUUCAUCUUUAAUUCAUCACUCUCAGCUGAAAGAGAUUAGCAAUGUCUAGCACGCACCCUUCGUAUGGUGCUGACCUCAUCAAGUAUGGCCUGAAAUUAAUUAGCCUCAUUCAUUCCAAAUGGAAAAGGAUAAUGGAGCUGCAUUUUAGAGAUGACCAUCACAAAUUGUAUGCAGCAUAUUUAAAAUCCCUCCUCCCCGCCCCCCCAUUCCCCUCCCCAUUAAAAAAACUAUGUAGAUUAAAAUUCUUUCCAGAACUUGCAAUAUGUCAGAGUUAUCGAGGCAUUAGGAGCAGAAACCACUCCGUUUUUAUUUGUGGAACUGGGAGCCACGUUUUGUGUGUGUGGCUGUAAAAGCAGCAAGCCUGUCAUAAAUGGCACAACACCUGGAAUUAAUCUGAUAUUUCCAGGUGCUCUGGCAAGCUGGGGCAUCAAGCGCUUGGUGUUUAAACAUUCUUCUACUGGCUUGCUUAAAUCAAUAUGAAAGUGGUGUCCCUUUGUCAUUCAUAGAUGCAAAGUGCUAGCACAAACUCCAGCUUGGCUUCAGAGUCCUACAUCACUCAUAAUCUAAUUAGAAAUCAGAGCAGAGCCGAAGCAGCAUUCUUUGUGGAUUCUUGGGCAGCAAAUAGGGAUACUUGUCUUUUGUUUCCCUCCUCGAUUGCAUCGUUCACAAGCUUUCACACCACAUCUCUAAAGGUGGUUAGGUGCCUCAAGAUGUUGACAGGCAUGAAGGACAAGAUUAUUUAGGUAUUUAGGUGCCUACCCAGGGUGAUUUCAAAUGGAAUUAAGCAACUGGAUGUUACUGGGGGAAAAAAAGGGGGGGGGGGGGGUGUGCAGGAAAAAGAAAAGCUUCCAAUGCGUAUGAAAAGCUCUAAUUUGUUGUCCUAAACUCUAGCAACGUGGGCGAUGUUUUUCCAGGGUAAAAUUGCCUGCAGGGUGAAUUUACUGAAGUCUGGCAGUUUAUAUUGAGAUGAGUGGGUCCUUGGUUUUGGGCAGUGCAGCUCCAUCAGCUCCUCCCUGGCCAGGCACAGGGGUGGUGUGUGCUCCUGUUGCUUCCCAAGAGACAGGAAAGUGGUAAAGAAUGCAGGAUUUCCCACAGGAAUUUGGAAGAUGCCCGUGUUUAAGACAAUGGUGAGGAUUGAGCCCAAAUCCAGAUCCAGCCUGGAUUCCUCCACCUGGGUAGUCCUGUCUCAACCUACAACUGCUGAUGGAUAGUGGCAACGUGGAUCUUCCUGUCUCCUUACUCCCCAGCACCAGAUCACCAAGAGGGCCUGAGAUAAUACUGAAUGAAGCAUCACAAGACCAUGACUGGAAAGUGUGGGAACCACACAUACAGAGAGAUGCUGGUUCCCUGACUGCCACUGGUUCAUCUCUGUCAUGGCACAAGCUACCAGAGGAUGGAGGAUCAUUGUAAGGAUCAUUCCUGUCCUGGCUCCUCCUCAUCAGUGCUUUGAGCUGUGUGAAGCCCUGAGAACCAAGGCAACAUGAGUCCAUGACCAGAUGCACAUGGAUAUGCUGGUAAACUGCCAUUCAGUCCAGAGGCUGGACAGAAAUAAAUCACCAGAUAAAAUAUAAUAUUCUGAGUGAAAACCUUUAUGGAACAUGCUCUUGCCCCAAACUCCUCCUGGAAUAGGCGCAGUAAUGCUCCCUGAGACCUGGCAGCCCUUCUAAGUGAACAUAUGGUCUGCUCAGCUCUUGCAGUACUCCUGCAUGGUUCCUGAUGCUAAAGGUCUGACCUUAAAAUGUGCAGUGCAAGAAUGGGUGCUGCAGCGAGCUUCUGGCCUUCAACCCUUCCAAAUAGAGCUAUUUUGGUAACCAGAACAGCAUACUCAUGAUGGGUGAGGGAACAGAGCCUUCCAGUGAAGGAUUUCUUGGCACAUUAACUCUAUCAGUGCUGGAUGCUGCAUCCCUCUUCAGGUUGCUUGUGUCUAUUUAAGAUACUAAAUACAGAUUUGCAGAAGCCUUGUAACUUCACGGAUGUGCUUCAGUGCCUGCUGCACCUAAAUAUUAACCAUUUUUCCUGGGGAUUUCCACAUAGAUUUGGGGAGAACUGCAAUCACACACCUCUGUGAGUAGCUCAGACUUGGAUUUCUUGUCCACAGGAGGGGCACAGCCUGGUUUGCUACAAUGCAACUGUCUUCAUUAACGUUCUUCAAGCCCUGAUGUACUGACCUUGUACACCAUCAUUCACCACUGUAGGUGCCAUCUUAAUCUCUGGUUUUGGUAUGACAGACUAUGAGGUCUCACCGAUACUGCACCAUCUUGUUCUCUGCUUCCAGGCUCAGGUCACAGGUUGGAUUUGGAAGCAGCAACUUUCAUGCAGAGAUGUGACUGGUAUCUGGAUACUAUUCCAGGGUAAGUGCAUUUUUGUUUAAUUUGGGUUUUGUACAAUGUAUAAAGUCCAUACAAAGUCUGUUGUUAAUCCCAGCCUAGUUGUGAAAUUGCUAUGGACCACUACUUGUUCAAUGCAAUAAAGCAUUUCCAUGUACCAUAGAAACACUGCUCCAUUCAUAUAUUAAAACUAUUUUACCAGGUCAGUCCUCUGGGAUUUAGCAUUUCAUUCAGAAGGGACUCUAUAACACACACCAGUUGUGCUGUCUCUGGGUUCUGAUGAAUGUGGCGAUUUUCUUAAGCCUAUAUAUAUAUUAAUUUAUUGUAACACUUCUUUCUUAUUUGAACAACUGGAACUUAGAAAAAGAGCUAAAAAAUAACUCUCAGACUGAAUGGAUACUCAUUAUAAUUUUCUCUUUAUUACUUGCAAGUCUUGGAUUACCUCAUGCAACCUUUCCAUGUUGACUACUCUAUUAGCUUUGCUCAGACACAGAAGGUAGUGAUAAUGGAUAAUGUAUGUUACAGGCUUCUUUACAGAUGAAACCAAGGAAGCGUCCUGAAGUGUAGCAGCUACUCAAUACUGGUAACUUACACAACACUCUGUACUACUACUGCUGUUUUGAACCAAUUUAUUUAGUUAUUUGGACUUUACUCAGAUGCAUUCCUUUCCACUGCAACAGCAGUGAUACAUAGGAAGGUGUGUUUUAAACCUUGCAGUCAUUCCCAUCCUGGAUUUCAUGAGGGGUUAUUCUUGUCUCAGAGGUGAAUCAUUUAAAUAUCCUUUUACAGAUUCCAGGUGAGUUACUCACAUUAAGAUGCUUCCAAGUAAUACACAGAAAGGUGCUGAGAAAAUGAUGAGUCUCUGCCUAGUAAAAAGCUCAGCAAAAGUAAGUCCAAGUAAAUUAUAUACUAGCACUCAAAGUCUUCCUAAGGAAAUCUGGGGGCAAAGGGCUUCUGCCUUCAAAAAUGUGUGGCCAACAGGGAUGCAAAACACUUGCUUUUCUGACUGACCCAUCAGCUGCUCUUUGUCCCCAGAAAUGGUUCAGGAAAAGACUGAAAGUAUCUGAAGACAUAAAAGGGAUAAUUAAGUUUCAUUGUGGGAAUAAGAGGGUAAUCUGUCCAGACAAAUGUAGGACUCGGUAUUGAAAACUGUAGUAUCUGAAUAUAAAAAAUGAGUAAUUUUGAAUAAAGAUGUCUAUCAGGACUGUAAAUCCAGAGAGUAGCUUUGCUUAAAAGACCAUCUCUGUCUCCAUCUUCCUCUAACUCAUUUUCUUGUUCUCUUUCUUCCUUUUGAGUGACUGCAAAAACCACGCAUAUAAAAUCUGAUAUUGAGAACGCUUUAGCUUCAUUUCAAUCUUCUCCAAAUGUUUUGUUCUGCUGUGAAGAUUCCCCCUGCGAGAUAACCUUACCCGUGACCGCACUAGGCUUGCGGGACCACUUAUUUGCAGAGAGAACGGCUGUAUUCUGAAGCAGCCAGGUGCCCACUCUUCUGAGGCUCUUAAAGAUGCUUUUGAGCUGGCAUGAGAAAUCACCCAGGACUUGGAAUGGAUCACAAGGUGCUUAGGACAGUAUUUUCAAUGCACCUUUUUUUUGCUGAGCAGAAUUCUGCACUAUAAACCAAUGCGAGUUUUGCCUCAUUCUUAGAUACUGUGAGUUAUGAAAGCCCACUCUAGGUGUAAUGAAUGUAUAGAUCAUUUUGACCAGAUCAUAAUCUAUUAGUAAAUAACGUUCCUGGAAAUGUAUAGGUGAAAUAAAGAACUUCUUGCUACUA
Pezoporus flaviventris is the source of this 13683-nucleotide long non-coding RNA. RefSeq lists it as uncharacterized. The record is from RefSeq and is a predicted model, not a curated record. Lineage: Eukaryota; Metazoa; Chordata; Aves; Psittaciformes; Psittacidae. The transcript is spliced from 8 exons.